UCCUCAGUAGCUUAGUGGUGUAGAGCGGUCGGCUGUUAACUGACUGGUAGGUUCGAAUCCUACUUGGGGAG
This is a non-coding RNA of Malania oleifera, 71 nucleotides long. NCBI's taxonomy places the organism in Eukaryota, Viridiplantae, Streptophyta, Magnoliopsida, Santalales, Ximeniaceae. The record is from the annotation of a RefSeq genome assembly.